UAGUCCACGCUGUAAACGAUGGAUACUAGCUGUCGGGUUUUCGGACUCGGUGGCCAAGCGAAAGUGAUAAGUAUCCCACCUGGGGAGUACGUUCGCAAGAAUGAAACUCAAAGGAAUUGACGGGGGCCCGCACAAGCGGUGGAGCAUGUGGUUUAAUUCGAUGAUACGCGAGGAACCUUACCAGGGCUUAAAUGCAUAAUGACAGGGGUAGAGAUACCUUUUUCUUCGGACAUUUUGCAAGGUGCUGCAUGGUUGUCGUCAGCUCGUGCCGUGAGGUGUCGGGUUAAGUCCCAUAACGAGCGCAACCCCUAUCUUUAGUUGCCAGCGGAUAAUGCCGGGGACUCUAAAGAAACUGCCCGUGUAAACGGAGAGGAAGGUGGGGAUGACGUCAAAUCAUCACGGCCCUUACGUCCUGGGGCUACACACGUGCUACAAUGGGCAGGGGACAGUUAGUCGCAAAACCGCGAGGGUGGAGCUAAUCUAUAAACCCUGUCUCAGUUCGGGAUCGGGAGUCUGCAACUCGACUCCGUGAA
This 533-nucleotide ribosomal RNA is filed under the name uncultured bacterium. RNAcentral describes it as "bacterial SSU rRNA". It matches the Rfam family "Bacterial small subunit ribosomal RNA", at positions 791 to 1324 of the family's 1533-position model. The record is from RNAcentral.